Hibiscus syriacus is the source of this 127-nucleotide long non-coding RNA. RefSeq lists it as uncharacterized. The record is from RefSeq and is a predicted model, not a curated record. The transcript is spliced from 3 exons. NCBI's taxonomy places the organism in Eukaryota, Viridiplantae, Streptophyta, Magnoliopsida, Malvales, Malvaceae.
GAAUUGGUUACAUGUGGAGAUAUGAAAGGAAUUAGGAUAGACCCUCCAUUUGAUGUGUUUCAAUAGUCAAAUCAGAACAGAAGUUACUCUCCUGUUGAUAUAGUGGAUAAAAUGUUUCAGGACAUCC